RNAcentral lists this ribosomal RNA (818 nucleotides) under uncultured bacterium. RNAcentral's name for it is "bacterial SSU rRNA". It matches the Rfam family "Bacterial small subunit ribosomal RNA", at positions 8 to 796 of the family's 1533-position model. The record is from RNAcentral.
AGAGUUUGAUCAUGGCUCAGAACGAACGCUGGCGGCGUGGAUAAGACAUGCAAGUCGAACGCUCAUUUGCCUGCAGCAAUGUGGGUGAGUGGGAGUGGCGCAAGGGUGCGUAACACGUGGGUAAUUUGCCGCGAAGUUGGGGAUAACUCGCUGAAAGGCGAGCUAAUACCGGAUUGUGAUCACUUGGUGGCAUCAUUGGGUGAUUAAAGUUGGGGACCCGCAAGGGCCUGACGCUUCGCGAUAAGCCCGCGGCCUAUCAGCUAGUUGGUGAGGUAACGGCUCACCAAGGCUAAGACGGGUAGCUGGUCUGAGAGGACGACCAGCCACACUGGAACUGAGAGACGGUCCAGACACCUACGGGUGGCAGCAGUCGAGAAUUUUUCACAAUGGGCGCAAGCCUGAUGGAGCGACGCCGCGUGGGGGAUGAAGGGCUUCGGCUCGUAAACCCCUGUCAUUUGCGAACAAACCCUCACAUUAAACAGGUGUGAGGUUGAUUGUAGCGAAAGAGGAAGGGACGGCUAACUCUGUGCCAGCAGCCGCGGUAAUACAGAGGUCCCGAGCGUUGUUCGGAUUCACUGGGCGUAAAGGGUGCGUAGGUGGUGGGGUAAGUCUCGUGUGAAAGCUCGCAGCUUAACUGCGAAAAGUCACGGGAUACUAUCCGGCUAGAGGCUUGGAGGGGGGACUGGAAUACUUGGUGUAGCAGUGAAAUGCGUAGAUAUCAAGUGGAACACCAGUGGCGAAGGCGAGUCCCUGGACAAGACCUGACACUGAGGCACGAAAGCCAGGGGAGCAAACAGGAUUAGAUACCCUAGUAGUCC